GGGCCCGCACAAGCAGCGGAGCAUGUGGUUUAAUUCGAAGCAACGCGAAGAACCUUACCUAGACUUGACAUCUCCUGAAUUACCGGUAAUGCGGGAAGCCCUUCGGGGCAGGAAGACAGGUGGUGCAUGGUUGUCGUCAGCUCGUGUCGUGAGAUGUUGGGUUAAGUCCCGCAACGAGCGCAACCCCUAUUGUUAGUUGCUACCAUUAAGUUGAGCACUCUAGCGAGACUGCCGAGGUCAACUCGGAGGAAGGUGGGG
This 258-nucleotide ribosomal RNA is filed under the name uncultured prokaryote. RNAcentral describes it as "partial 16S ribosomal RNA". It matches the Rfam family "Bacterial small subunit ribosomal RNA", at positions 917 to 1178 of the family's 1533-position model. The record is from RNAcentral.